UUAAUAUCGCUGAGGAGAAGGUGAGAACCUUCGAUAAGGUUCGAGUCGAGCAAUGCGAGACAACGUUGCCAUCGGCAACGGCCCGAAGGGCGAAUCGCGCAGCGAUGAGUCAUCCUUCUCCCACCACCA
RNAcentral lists this small RNA (129 nucleotides) under Budvicia aquatica. RNAcentral describes it as "RtT sRNA". It matches the Rfam family "RtT RNA". From Rfam's summary of the family: This family represents a bacterial cis-regulatory element known as RtT RNA. The exact function of RtT is unknown although it is thought that it may be involved in changing the cellular response in relation to amino acid starvation. The record is from RNAcentral. Lineage: Bacteria; Pseudomonadati; Pseudomonadota; Gammaproteobacteria; Enterobacterales; Budviciaceae.